GGAAGAGUGUGGGGUCCAUAAGAGACAUCUUUUGCCCCAUUUAAUUCAAGGGUUGACUGGAUCCUUGCCUAUUUCCUCACUUACCAUUCCAAAUGCAUCCUUCUUAAAGCUGUGGGCAUGUUGGAAAACAACAACCUCUUCCAGCGAAAUUGGGGAACUUUCCUUUAGUCAAGAUAUGCACGUCCCUGGGAUCCUUUGCUAGAGAUUUCAAAUAAGUUCCACAAAAGCUGUGCAAGCACGAGCCAAAGGACAGCCUUGGAAAGUGGACCAUGUAGAGGGAAUGGCUCAGAGUGGGUCAGUUUCUUAU
This 307-nucleotide small RNA is filed under the name Tursiops truncatus (common bottlenose dolphin). Its description in RNAcentral is "7SK RNA (ENSTTRG00000025136.1)". Lineage: Eukaryota; Metazoa; Chordata; Mammalia; Artiodactyla; Delphinidae. The record is from RNAcentral.